RNAcentral lists this ribosomal RNA (253 nucleotides) under uncultured bacterium. RNAcentral's name for it is "partial 16S ribosomal RNA". It matches the Rfam family "Bacterial small subunit ribosomal RNA", at positions 524 to 776 of the family's 1533-position model. The record is from RNAcentral.
UACGGAGGGCGCAAGCGUUGUUCGGAAUCACUGGGCGUAAAGCGCGUGUAGGCGGCUUGGUAAGUCGGGUGUGAAAGCCCGAGGCCUAACCUCGGAAAUGCACUAGAAACUGCCUCGCUCGAGUCCCGGAGAGGGUGGUGGAAUUCCCGGUGUAGAGGUGAAAUUCGUAGAUAUCGGGAGGAACACCAGUGGCGAAGGCGGCCACCUGGACGGUGACUGACGCUGAGACGCGAAAGCGUGGGGAGCAAACAGG